UGGGGAAUAUUGCACAAUGGGCGCAAGCCUGAUGCAGCCAUGUCGCGUGUGUGAAGAAGGCCUUCGGGUUGUAAAGCACUUUCAGCGGGGAGGAAGGCGGUGAGGUUAAUAACCUCACCGAUUGACGUUACCCGCAGAAGAAGCACCGGCUAACUCCGUGCCAGCAGCCGCGGUAAUACGGAGGGUGCAAGCGUUAAUCGGAAUUACUGGGCGUAAAGCGCACGCAGGCGGUCUGUCAAGUCGGAUGUGAAAUCCCCGGGCUCAACCUGGGAACUGCAUUCGAAACUGGCAGGCUAGAGUCUUGUAGAGGGGGGUAGAAUUCCAGGUGUAGCGGUGAAAUGCGUAGAGAUCUGGAGGAAUACCGGUGGCGAAGGCGGCCCCCUGGACAAAGACUGACGCUCAGGUGCGAAAGCGUGGGGAGCAAACAGG
RNAcentral lists this ribosomal RNA (429 nucleotides) under Chloroflexota bacterium. RNAcentral's name for it is "Chloroflexi bacterium partial 16S ribosomal RNA". It matches the Rfam family "Bacterial small subunit ribosomal RNA", at positions 355 to 776 of the family's 1533-position model. The record is from RNAcentral. Lineage: Bacteria; Bacillati; Chloroflexota.